GAUGAACGCUGGCGGCAUGCUUUACACAUGCCAGUCGGACGGGAAGUGGUGUUUCCAGUGGCGGUCGGGUGAGUAACGCGUAAGAACCUGCCCUUGGGAGGGGAACAACAGCUGGAAACGGCGGCUAAUACCCCGUAGGCUGAGGAGCGAAAGGAGGAAUCCGCCCAAGGAGGGGCUCGCGUCUGAUUAGCUAGUUGGUGGGGUAAUAGGUUACCAAGGCGGUGAUUAGUAGCUGGUCCGGGCGGAUGAUCAGACACACUGCGACUGAGACAAGGCCCAGACUGGUACGGGGAGAAGGCGUAGAGUAUAUCGGGCGACGGGAGUGGGGAAGUUCCAGCAAUGCGGGGUAGCCUGACGGGGCAAUGCCGUGUGGAAGUAAAAUUGCUAGGGGUCAAGAGCAUCUUGUCCAGGAGAAGAAACAAUGACGGUAUCUGAAGAAUAAGCACCGGCUAACUCCGUG
Molecule: ribosomal RNA, 460 nt
Filed under: uncultured bacterium
Lineage: Bacteria
Description: partial 16S ribosomal RNA
Rfam family: Bacterial small subunit ribosomal RNA
Source: RNAcentral